UUACGGCCAUGUCACGUUGAAACACCGGUUCCCGUACGAUCCACCAAAGUUAAGCAACGUCGAGCUUGAUUAGUACCUAGAUGGGUGACCGCUUGGGAACACCAGGUGCUGUAA
Acanthosepion pharaonis is the source of this 114-nucleotide non-coding RNA. NCBI's taxonomy places the organism in Eukaryota, Metazoa, Mollusca, Cephalopoda, Sepiida, Sepiidae. The record is from the annotation of a GenBank genome assembly.